Molecule: long non-coding RNA, 782 nt
Filed under: Marmota monax (woodchuck)
Lineage: Eukaryota; Metazoa; Chordata; Mammalia; Rodentia; Sciuridae
Source: RNAcentral
CACUCAACCACUGACCCACCUCCCUAGCCCUAUUUUGUAUUUUAUGUACUAAGCAUCACUGAGAUGCUUAGUGCCUUACUGUUGCUGAGGCUGGCUUUGAACUCUCAAAUCUCCUAUUUCAGCUUCUCAAGCUGCUGGGAUUACAGGUGUGCAACACCCCAACUGUCAUAAUAAUUUUGUAAUAAUGAUUAAAAAUAUUUAAAAAAAUGAGGGAGUAUUUAAGUUUGGUAUAUUAAUCUGGACUCUUAAGGAAGAAUUUUAUUUAGGUAUUUCAUUUCUGAUAUAAUCAAAGAUAGAACCAUACACGACCCUAUUAAAGACAAUCAAAAUAAAUAAGGACCACGUGACAUUUAAGGAAGUGAUGAAAAGUUUGGUAAGUUGGAUAAAAUACAGAAGAGUUUAGAUUUCUUAGUGAAUAUAAUGAAGAUCAAUUGAAGUUAUUUGAGUAAGAAAAUAGAAUGGUUCUCUCAUUGUAUGUGCUCAUAAACCAAUGAUAUUACCAAAGUUAAAAGGCAAUUAUUCAAUAUUUUGGUAGCAGAUUAAAGAAGAUGAGGGUAAAAAACAAAUGACAGCAGGGAGAUUAGUUAUUCUGACAGGAAGGGAUGUUACAGGGUUUAUAGAGCAGACUACAAUGUCAACAAAAAUAAUAUAAAAGUAAAGGACAGAUGCUUUCAUAAAUGAUAUCACAAUUUGAUGAGAUAUUUUUAAUAAAUUGAUGUGGGAGGAGAAGAAGAAGAAGAAAUAAGGAAAUAUACCUCUAAAAUUUUGAAACUUUAUAACUG